AGCUAUCCAUAACAGAGUAAUUGUUCAACUAUCACCACAGUGAAAACUGAAAAAUGGACGAAGUCGUAAUGACGAAACGUGUUGGAACGUCGCUGUACGGCAACCGGAAAUGACGCAACACGCAGUACCAGAAGUGACGUUCCAGCGGAGUAAACAUCUGUCGGGUUUGACACUGCCUACUAUAUGCUGGGUCUGCCGUGACCAUGAUAUACCAACUUAUUACUGAGUUUUGUAUGCGAUUACUAACAGUGCUAAAUGUAAGUGCAAUAUUUGCAGAUUUUUAUUUAUUUUAUUAAGUUUGUGUUUAAACGUUAUUGCACGAUUGGAAUUUUUUCUUUUGUCUCACAUACAUGGAAGAUCUGGGAGUCACCAUUAAAGACUGGAGAUCGGUGCUGAUUUGUCCUCAACCCUGAGGGGCACAUUGCUUGAUUUGCCGAGCAUGAGAAUGUGACGCAAUUAUUGUUGUAAGCACAAGAAGGGCAUAUUAAGAUCAAGAGGAAGGCAGCAAUGGAUCAACUGGUGGAAUUGGUGAAGCCACUGUACCCCAGGGCAGACAUCAAUUAUAUAAAGAGCAAAAUUGGGAACCUGAGGAGUGCAUACAAUAGGGAGCACAAGAAGGUCAUGGACUCCGAGAUCGGGAGCAGAAGCAGAUGACAUACAUGUCCCCAGGCUGUGGUACUACAACAGUCUGCGAUUUUUGACAGACCCGACCGAACCAUGCCCAUCGCUCUCCACACUUCUUUCCACAUCAGCUGAGGCCAUUUAGUUUCUUGUGCAUUCAGAAUAAAAAUAAUUAGUAGACA
This is a long non-coding RNA of Rana temporaria (common frog), 803 nucleotides long. RefSeq lists it as uncharacterized. Lineage: Eukaryota; Metazoa; Chordata; Amphibia; Anura; Ranidae. The transcript has 2 exons. The record is from RefSeq and is a predicted model, not a curated record.